AUGUCAACUGGAGCCGUGUGUGCCGUCCUAUCGCGUAUGGUGGGCUGGGAGUCCGAGACCUGGAGCGCGCUGGCCUCGCACUACGAUUGCGAUGGCUCUGGUUCGCCCGCGUCGAUCCAGACCGUGCCUGGCAAGGUCUCGAUCUGCAGUUCUCUCACGAGGAGCGCGCGCUCUUCUUUGCCUCCACUACCAUGA
RNAcentral lists this ribosomal RNA (195 nucleotides) under Triticum aestivum (bread wheat). Its description in RNAcentral is "partial small subunit ribosomal RNA". The record is from RNAcentral. Lineage: Eukaryota; Viridiplantae; Streptophyta; Magnoliopsida; Poales; Poaceae.